Symphalangus syndactylus (siamang) is the source of this 486-nucleotide long non-coding RNA. RefSeq lists it as uncharacterized. The record is from RefSeq and is a predicted model, not a curated record. Lineage: Eukaryota; Metazoa; Chordata; Mammalia; Primates; Hylobatidae.
CUUUCCUUUUAGUUUCACCUUGACAGCACAUUCUAGAACCUCAUUACCUCACACCAGGACAAAGGGGUCCUACCUAGAUGCCCCUUCCACCUGCCCAUUUAAUCCCAAACACUCUAUGCACACUGCCACUUUCACCAUCCCAUGUCCACGCUUCGCAGAGACACCUGCAAAAACACUUCCAAUGCAAGACUCAGCCACAACUGAGCCUCAGAGUGUGAUAUCUAGGGGACAAGUUGACAAAGAACCACAGGAGAAACCAAAGAGAUGUCUCAGAGAAAACCUCCUCUGACUAUAAUGCCCAUGGAAAAUCAUCUUAAUUCCAGAAAGUGGAGGCUGACGGGACACACCGUUGAGAGGGGACCUUCUCACACUCCAGAAGAUGAAGACUUUAGCAAGACCGUCAUUUCAGAAAAAGAGCUGGACAGGAGAUGGCAUGAUGAAGAUUAAAACCGACAAACACUUAAUACUGUCAUGAACUGCUACACA